GCAUGCAGAUUUGUAAUUUUUGCCAGUUUAGUGCAAUUAAUCGCUGUAUUUCAACAAUGAGGUCAAGUUGUCAUGCAGUUCCCAACCCUUAUCGACCUGUUGUUGUUGUUUUAUGGCGGUCUUGACACGCCAACGUUGCUUUGAAGACGGCAGCUGAGUACGAGUGGUUUCAGACAUGGUCCCCGUCUUCAAAAUGACCAUUUCAAAAGGCAACACGAUCGCAAGUUCAGUGCACACAGUAGCAACAACUUGGCCUCCAACAACUGGUUUCCUUUGCAUGACUGUAGCAUCAGGAUAUGUCAGACUCUGAAUGUGAAGCCGAAGCUUACUUGAUUGGGCGUUAUAGUCGUAUCAAACAUGGUGACCUAGAGACUGGCACCAUAAAUUCAGCAGGAAAAGUGUUUAGAAGAGAUCAACUGACUGACAUCCAGACAACUGGACCCCCUUUUGCAACCAGGUGUUGAUGCUGGCUGGUCACUAGAAAGAAAACAGAUUUAAGGCAGUUUUCAUUAGCACCAAACAUGAAAGUAUUUGCAUUGGCAAACCUAAACUUUGACUUAAUGAUGGCAUGAUACCAUUAGAGACUUGCUGAAACUGGAUAAGGAGGCGGGGGAUGCUUUUGCACAAAGAACAGGCAUACAUGCAGGCUUUAAAUCUUGCCUCCUUUCUUUAUUAAUUGAUUUAAUCAAAAACACGACUGUCACGGUAAAUUUUUGGAUUGCGUUGGUGAAUCUCCACUCUGAGCAUCUAACAAGAUUAAAUUCAAUGUUGCUUUUUCUGCAAGCUUUGCGGUUACAGUGUGAAGAUUAGCCUUUCUACACCAACAGCCGGCCCUUGAUGGAAGCAAAAAUGCAGAGUCACCUGUCGAUAAACUCCAGACACGAAAUCCAUUUUUACAGACCCAUGAGAUCUUUUCCUGUUGCUCAGUAUUGCUAAGCAACGCCUGUAAUUAUGACAGACACGCAGGUCAGCUGACCCGGGCCUGAUCUGCCUAAGAAGUGCCGACGGACUGCUGAGCCCUGCAGUGCACGGAUGAAGGUGAGCCGACCUCAGACUGAUCACCGUGACCACAGAGUACUUAGGAAGCAUUA
This is a long non-coding RNA of Oreochromis aureus, 1091 nucleotides long. RefSeq lists it as uncharacterized. NCBI's taxonomy places the organism in Eukaryota, Metazoa, Chordata, Actinopteri, Cichliformes, Cichlidae. The transcript has 3 exons. The record is from RefSeq and is a predicted model, not a curated record.